UACGGAGGAUCCGAGCGUUAUCCGGAUUUAUUGGGUUUAAAGGGUGCGUAGGCGGCCUGUUAAGUCAGGGGUGAAAGACGGUAGCUCAACUAUCGCAGUGCCCUUGAUACUGAUGGGCUUGAAUGGACUAGAGGUAGGCGGAAUGUGACAAGUAGCGGUGAAAUGCAUAGAUAUGUCACAGAACACCGAUUGCGAAGGCAGCUUACUAUGGUCCUAUUGACGCUGAGGCACGAAAGCGUGGGGAUCAAACAGG
RNAcentral lists this ribosomal RNA (253 nucleotides) under uncultured bacterium. RNAcentral describes it as "partial 16S ribosomal RNA". It matches the Rfam family "Bacterial small subunit ribosomal RNA", at positions 524 to 776 of the family's 1533-position model. The record is from RNAcentral.